This 464-nucleotide ribosomal RNA is filed under the name Vreelandella stevensii. Its description in RNAcentral is "partial 16S ribosomal RNA". It matches the Rfam family "Bacterial small subunit ribosomal RNA", at positions 338 to 795 of the family's 1533-position model. The record is from RNAcentral. Lineage: Bacteria; Pseudomonadati; Pseudomonadota; Gammaproteobacteria; Oceanospirillales; Halomonadaceae.
CCUACGGGUGGCUGCAGUGGGGAAUAUUGGACAAUGGGGGGAACCCUGAUCCAGCCAUGCCGCGUGUGUGAAGAAGGCCCUCGGGUUGUAAAGCACUUUCAGUGAGGAAGAACGCCUGGUGGUUAAUACCCAUCAGGAAAGACAUCACUCACAGAAGAAGCACUGGCUAACUCCGUGCCAGCAGCCGCGGUAAUACGGAGGGUGCGAGCGUUAAUCGGAAUUACUGGGCGUAAAGCGCGCGUAGGUGGCUUGAUAAGCCGGUUGUGAAAGCCCCGGGCUCAACCUGGGAACGGCAUCCGGAACUGUCAAGCUAGAGUGCAGGAGAGGAAGGUAGAAUUCCCGGUGUAGCGGUGAAAUGCGUAGAGAUCGGGAGGAAUACCAGUGGCGAAGGCGGCCUUCUGGACCGACACUGACACUGAGGUGCGAAAGCGUGGGUAGCAAACAGGAUAGAUACCCGUGUAGUC